RNAcentral lists this ribosomal RNA (253 nucleotides) under uncultured bacterium. RNAcentral describes it as "partial 16S ribosomal RNA". It matches the Rfam family "Bacterial small subunit ribosomal RNA", at positions 524 to 776 of the family's 1533-position model. The record is from RNAcentral.
UACGGAGGGUGCGAGCGUUGUCCGGAAUCACUGGGCGUAAAGGGCGCGUAGGCGGCCUGGUAAGUCGGGGGUGAAAUCCUGCGGCUUAACCGCAGGGCUGCCUUCUAAACUGUCAGGCUGGAGCACAGGAGAGGCAGGUGGAAUUCCCGGUGUAGCGGUGGAAUGCGUAGAGAUCGGGAAGAACACCAGUGGCGAAGGCGGCCUGCUGGGCUGUUGCUGACGCUGAGGCGCGACAGCGUGGGGAGCAAACAGG